GACAGAGGGUGCAAACGUUGUUCGGAAUUACUGGGCGUAAAGCGCGUGUAGGCGGCUAGGUAAGUCAGGCGUGAAAUCCCACGGCUCAACCGUGGAAGUGCACCUGAUACUGCAUAGCUAGAGUCCUGGAGAGGAAGGUGGAAUGCUUGGUGUAGAGGUGAAAUUCGUAGAUAUCAAGCGGAACACCGGUGGCGAAGGCGGCCUUCUGGACAGUGACUGACGCUGAGACGCGAAAGCGUGGGGAGCAAACAGG
RNAcentral lists this ribosomal RNA (253 nucleotides) under uncultured bacterium. RNAcentral's name for it is "partial 16S ribosomal RNA". It matches the Rfam family "Bacterial small subunit ribosomal RNA", at positions 524 to 776 of the family's 1533-position model. The record is from RNAcentral.